This 506-nucleotide ribosomal RNA is filed under the name Corynoptera subparvula. RNAcentral describes it as "partial small subunit ribosomal RNA". The record is from RNAcentral. Lineage: Eukaryota; Metazoa; Arthropoda; Insecta; Diptera; Sciaridae.
GUCUUUUUGUAAUUUAUAUAAAGUCUAACCUGCCCAUUGAACAAUUUAAAAGGCUGCGGUAUUAUGACCGUACAAAGGUAGCAUAAUCAUUAGUUUUUUAAUUGGAAACUGGAAUGAAUGGUUGAAUGAGAAAUUUACUUUUUUAAAUAAAAGAUUGAAUUUUACUUUUUAUUUAAAAGGAUAAAAUAAAUUUAAAAGACGAGAAGACCCUAUAGAGUUUCAUAAUUUGUAUUAAAUUUUUUAAAAAGUUAAAUAUAAAUUACUUAAUUUAAAUUAUUUUGUUGGGGUGAUAAUAAAAUUUAAUUAACUUUUAAAAAUUAAAAACAUUAAUAUAUGAAUAUAUGAUCCAAUAUUAUUGAUUAAAAAAUUAAAUUACCUUAGGGAUAACAGCGUAAUUUUUUUUUAAGUUCAUAUUAAUAAAAAAUUUUGCGACCUCGAUGUUGGAUUAAGAUUUAAUUUUAGGUGCAGCAGUUUAAAAUUUAAGUCUGUUCGACUUUUAAAUUCUU